CAUGCUUCCAAUAGCGAGGAGCCCAUCCCCAUCAAGCUUAAACAGCGGCCACCUAUUCGCCUCGUCUCACCAUCCUCCCGUUGUCAUCGCCUCCUCCUAAACCACUCUCCAUGUCCUCAUUUCCUGAAGCUACCCCACCGGCUCCAACGGCGGCGAAGGAACCGAUGCGUGUGCUCGUCACCGGCAUCGUAGGUUGACAUUCAGCACAAGUUAUAUGUGGCUCAUCCUGAUGAGAAACUAGCUCGCUGUCGCCAGAUUUAGAUGAUGAAGCAUCUGAACAUUGAUGUAACUAGUGGGUCAGUGAGGAGCAUCACUCCAGAGGAUAAGUGCGUUUCUACCCGGAGCCAGUGGACUGAUGACAAUGACUUUGACAACCAGCGCAAGAGCACCAUGUCUUCUAGGUCCGUGAUGGAGAUGAUGAUGAGGAGAUGGAAGAUGACCCCAUGGAUGAUCACGUGGAAUCAGAGGAGGAGCCCAAUGACGAGGAGUACUAAUCGUCUAGGAUGUUACCGUCGCUCUUUCCCUUUUUAGUGUCUUGAGGCCAAAGGGGGGAGAGAGAGAUUUUAUUAGGAUAUUCAGGAUUGGCAAGGGUCGGAGUCACAAGCUCGUCUUCUUGUUUGUCAUUGCUCACUUGUGAGCGCCUUCUUAAGUUGAACUUAUUUUCUUUAGGUUGUGAACUUAUUUGGAGACCUUUUUUUAUGUUGCAUGGUGUGAGACAUGUUAUCCCUAUUUAUCUAUCCUUGUCAUGUCGUUAAUUUCAUGUUUAUGGAGUCAUUCUA
This is a long non-coding RNA of Triticum aestivum (bread wheat), 779 nucleotides long. RefSeq lists it as uncharacterized. The record is from RefSeq and is a predicted model, not a curated record. The transcript is spliced from 2 exons. Lineage: Eukaryota; Viridiplantae; Streptophyta; Magnoliopsida; Poales; Poaceae.